Molecule: long non-coding RNA, 502 nt
Filed under: Setaria viridis
Lineage: Eukaryota; Viridiplantae; Streptophyta; Magnoliopsida; Poales; Poaceae
Description: long non-coding RNA (SVIR_LNC001452)
Source: RNAcentral
GUGGUAUUAUGACCUGGUACUAAAAGUUUCUCCACGGGUUACUUCAAAAGGAAAGCAUAUCUACAUCCAUUACAUGUGCUGUGUAGGUGGAGUGGUAAGGAAGGAUCGCGCAAGAUCGGAGGUUGUAGGUUCGAAUCCCACGAACCACGCACGUGCAUAUUACGUGUGAAAAUCACAUGUGAGCAAGGCCGGGGAAGAGACGAGCGGCAGGGAAAAUACCAUGAAAUAUGCAUCCCAUUUCUUCUUGUCCCUUCAACCUAAUAGAAAACAAAGAUAAUCCUAUCAACUCAAUCAACCACGCAACAGGACAUCCCAUUCACUAAACCAAACACACACCCUUAUCCCUUAGGAUCUAGGAUUGCUAUCUUCUCUCUAUCACCUAGUUGCUAUCGACGGCUUUGUUUUCAUUGGAACUAGGGCCGUUGGGGACGUAUCAAGGGCCCGUUGUGAGUAUUACAAUUAGUCCCUAGAGCUAACUGUAAUUAUACAGUUGAUAUUCCUU